AAAAGCAACACAGGAAGAGAGAGGCACAAUGAAAGAUUCAUGAUUGGACAAGUGACCUGUUACAUAGGGGCAAACUGCAGACCCAGUAUCUAAUAAUAGCCACCUGCCCAUUCCUUGAACUAGUGUUAACUAGUAAGCUGGAUUGUUUUUUCAAUGCCCCCAAAAGCAGAAAAGAAAUCAUUGCUAGAGCAUUGCAAUGCAUGUUAGAGCACUGGUUUAAUGCAAAGACUACAUUUUUGAAAACUUCUAAGUAUCUGGAUUUCUGUAACUAAUUUCUACCACCAAAUAGGAAGUUAGAGAUAGUAAUGGCUUGUAUAUGUUUGGGCAGAGGAGUGGCACUAUUAGGAGGUGUGACCGUGUUGGAGUAGGUGUGUCAUUGUGGGCAUGGGCUUUAAUACCUUACCCCUAGCUGCCUGGAAGGGAGUAUUCUGCUAGCAGCCUUCAGAUGAAAAUGUGGAACUCUUAUCUCCUCCUGCACCAUGCCUGCCUAGAUGCUGCCAUGUUCCUGCCUUGAUGACAAUGGACUGAACCUCUGAAUCUCACCAGGAGCUGAGAGACUCCACUUCUGCUCCAUGCUAGCCCACCCCAAGCCGAGAGCUGCUGGCAGAGGACUACGCUGUUGCUGAUCACAGUGGAGUAAAGAGCACAAAUAAAGGCUUAUGGAAGGACUGGGUCCUGAGUCACCUCAGGGCAGUUCCAGGUCACAUGUACCUCUAGACUAUGUGACAUUUAGAUGUCCCAGGUCACCCCAAGACAGAUUAUACUCUAGUCCUCUUUUGGCUUCAUGACCUGUACUUGGAAGCUCUUAUGAGACCUUCUUAACCUUCAAGAGAAAAUAGAUGAUGAAUGUUCAAUGGUGUGCAGAAUGGGCAUGCUUUCCUACUCAGCCACACCAACAAGAAGCCAUUGUGUCUUGGGUAAUGAACCAAAACUCUAGCUCUAGGAGCAAGUCAUUCUCUCACUGUCUCUCCUUUCCCAUCUCGUUCUUUCUUCCCUCUUCCCCAUGGCCCCUUUCCUUUUCUUUUUCUUUUUCUCAUUCUUUCUCUCAGAUUCUCUUUUUAUUCCUUUGGCAGGGGUCUCACCAUGUAGGGCUGCCUGCCUGACCUGGAACUUAACUAUUUAGAUAAGCCUGGCCACGAACACAGAGCAAUCUGCCUGCCUCUGCCUUCUCAAUAGUGGGAUUACAGACAUGGCUAUCUCAUUCUGCUUGCUGUAUCAGGCAUCCCAAGGAAGUGUCUCCUGUCCCAAUCCUCUGUUUCCAGCAUCACAAUGUGUGAUUUCAGCUGAUUCACUGGAAUCAAGAAGUUGGCAAAUAACCAUAAUAUCUGAGGACCAGAGACUGUUACAUAAUCAUCCUUUGGUGGAGACAAUGAGGUCAUAUGUUUGCCCAUCUAAUUGCUGAUCAGGGACACGUUUGAUUGCAAAUAAUUUGCUCGCUGGCCCACAACUUAAUUACUAAGUGUCUGAAUCAACAAAGCUUUUAGAUGUAGGUCUUGCCUAAUGGUGCAUUUGUUAGAGAUCAUUGCCUUCAUUUGGCCCCUAAAUGAAAGGUCUGGGGGAUAUGAGGGACCACUGCCAACACUGCUCUCAAUGACCUCAUAUUGGAAAAUAUGCCAAUUCCCACGGUUUAUUCUCUAGCCAGCAAUGGGCUUUAUUGUUUAUGUCCAGGGCCAAACAGAAUGAGCGCCUCAGAGUGUCAGAUAUUGGUAAAACCUCUGGUGGAAGCACAAUUUGGGGGAAAAUUGGUGUUACUCAACCUAGAGAAAAUGGUUCUCAUUCCCAGUCUCAUAAAGAAACUCUGUUGAGAGAAGUCGAGCAGGCAUGUGCAGCCUUUCGGCAUUUUCACACAAUGUUGUCAUCUCCAGAGUUCAUGCUUGAGAAGCACACAAUCAAAUCAUGCACACAAAAAGUGUUUUAAGUAACUUUAUGAUUUUGUGUUAGCCUGUAUUCACAGCUAUCCUGUGCUAAAUGCAGCCUGUCAGUCGUGAGUUAAAUAUACCUGGGAAGAAAUAGGCAAGAGAGGAGUCUAUGGGUAGGCACCCACACAAUAGAAGAGGACCUAGCUAGAGAUCAAGGAGUCCCAUGGUUGUCCUACUUAGAGUAAUUUUUCCAGCUUAAGUGCUUCCCCCCAUCUCAUUAGACAUACAGGAAGGUGGCUUGCAUAGGAUCAUGGAUGACACAUUAGUGUGUUCUACAAUGCUGUUGAAAAUUACUUCUCAGAACACUGCCCUGUCUAGAGCAAUGUAGAAGAGCAAAUGCUGAGAAGUCAGGGUAGAAAGGCAGGGCAAAUUAUGGAAACCCGGAAAUGUCCACCCAUAGAUAUUCGAAUGGUG
This 2333-nucleotide long non-coding RNA is filed under the name Mus caroli (Ryukyu mouse). RNAcentral describes it as "lncRNA (MGP_CAROLIEiJ_G0004296.1)". The record is from RNAcentral. Lineage: Eukaryota; Metazoa; Chordata; Mammalia; Rodentia; Muridae.